ACUCGUAUUUUAUAUCACUUAUUUCCCUUUACACAAAUUCAGGAGGUCGCGGGCUGAUGGCUCUCAAAUUCCUUUGCGCGUCAUGACGUGAUGCAAAGUCAUAAAAGGCGUCACAUGGUCACAUGACUUCCAUAUAUCUAAAACCGCAUAAUUCGAACUCAAUGGAAAACUUCUGUCUUAACAGACACAUGAAUAUCAAUCAACCGAGACGAAAGCUCUAAAAACCCUUAUCUAGUGAAGAAGUAUGACUGAAGAUAUGUGGCAUUGACUGUACUUGCUGAAUGGAAGUCACCAAGUAAAAUUGUUGCCCGAACAGGGGCAGGAAAGGGGAAAGGAGAUGUUAUUGUUGUAACUAAAUCUGGAGGCAAGGGCAGCUGUACUGUUGGUUUCCGUGGCUACUUUCUACAAAUAGGUCCAUUGCAAGAAUCAGCUGUGUGGAUUGAUGAAUCACAGACUGUGAGAGCCAAUCUAGACCAUGGACGAAUAGCCACUGCUGCUCCACUGAAAGAGGAGGAAGAUCCUCUUGGAAUUUCAGAUGAGGGAGACAAGUCAGUUUUUAUGGAUUCUAAAAAGUCUCAAAAACUGUUGAAAGAAUGAAAUCCAUCGAAAGAUUGAGAGACGCCCCUACGUAGGGAUAUAUACUUCUUCUUCCUAUACUGUGGGCAGAAGCUUCGCGGGCCGGACGGCACCGCGUCGCGGGCCGUAGGUUGGGUAUCCCUGUUAUAAGAAAUAUUUAAGACACCUUUCUGAAAGGUGCAACAAAAUCACAGAUCCUGGAGCCCAGCAGAACAUACAGAUAGGAGGCGGAAAUUACAAGCCUGCAUUUUAGUGACUGACACUAAACGACACUAUGAUUCCGAACUUUUGACCCAGCUGUUGUCGCUUCCUCACAUAGGCAAAAUCCAGGCUUUAAGCAACAGGUUGUUAGGGGAGAAAAACAUUUAACAAACACAUGUUGCA
This 960-nucleotide long non-coding RNA is filed under the name Pomacea canaliculata. RNAcentral's name for it is "uncharacterized LOC112572407, transcript variant X2". Lineage: Eukaryota; Metazoa; Mollusca; Gastropoda; Architaenioglossa; Ampullariidae. The record is from RNAcentral.